CUUGGUCAUUUAGAGGAAGUAAAAGUCGUAACAAGGUUUCCGUAGGUGAACCUGCGGAAGGAUCAUUAUUGUUUUUGAUUUUGAUUGAUUAGUUUGGAUAUAAGGACCUGCGCUUAACUGCGCGGUCUGUCCAAGGCUAAUUCAUUCUUAAUUAUAUUACACUUUGUUUUUGUUUGGUCUUCGGAUCUUUAUUAAACUCUCAGAUUUAUAUCUGAAUGUAUUUUAUUAUCUUUUAUUCAACUUUUAAAUUAAUAAUUUAAAACUUUCAGCAACGGAUCUCUUGGUUCUCGCAUCGAUGAAGAACGCAGCGAAUUGCGAUAAGUAUUGUGAAUUGCAGAUUUUCGUGAAUCAUCGAAUCUUUGAACGCAUAUUGCACUCUAUAGUAUUCUGUAGAGUAUGCUUGUUUGAGCGUCAUUUCAUUCUUAAACCUCUAGGUUUAGUAUUGGAGGAUGUAAUUCUUUAUGGAUAACUCUUCUGAAAUGACUUGGCAUCUUUACCUUGUGUAAAUCUAAGCUUGUAUGAACUUAUUAUUAGGUCUAACCAACUAAUGAGUACUCAUCUGGCGUCUUACCCAAGGGUUUAUUAAAGUGCCUAACAAAAUUUAUCAUUAAUUUUGACCUCAAAUCAAGUAAGGAUACCCACUGAACUUAAGCAUAUCAAUAAGCGGAGGA
RNAcentral lists this ribosomal RNA (671 nucleotides) under uncultured Saccharomycopsis. RNAcentral's name for it is "partial 18S ribosomal RNA". The stretch from base 261 to 414 matches the Rfam family "5.8S ribosomal RNA". The record is from RNAcentral. Lineage: Eukaryota; Fungi; Ascomycota; Saccharomycetes; Ascoideales; Saccharomycopsidaceae.